This 541-nucleotide transfer RNA is filed under the name uncultured cyanobacterium. Its description in RNAcentral is "partial contains 16S ribosomal RNA, 16S-23S ribosomal RNA intergenic spacer, and 23S ribosomal RNA". The stretch from base 210 to 282 matches the Rfam family "tRNA". Lineage: Bacteria; Bacillati; Cyanobacteriota. The record is from RNAcentral.
CAGGGAGACAACAAAAUGUUAAAUAUUAAUUUUGUCACCUUAGGUCGAUCGGUAUCUCACAUUCUUAAUUAUUUAAGAAUUUUAUUUCCUAAGUUUUUCUAGGUCACACCCAUUAUUUUUCCUGGGCCAUUAGCUCAGGUGGUUAGAGCGCACCCCUGAUAAGGGUGAGGUCCCUGGUUCAAGUCCAGGAUGGCCCAUAUCUCUAUGUUGGGGGUAUAGCUCAGUUGGUAGAGCGCCUGCUUUGCAAGCAGGAUGUCAGCGGUUCGAGUCCGCUUACCUCCACUGAUUACCACCUCUUCCAUAACUUAUAGAAGGGAAAUUUUUGAGUUGUGAUCAAAUUCUGAACGAAUCUAGCUUCCUAAUUAUCUCAUUAAGAUGCUGGACUCAUUGAAAUUAUUUUCAUUGUUUUCAGAGAACCUUGACAACUGCAUAGAUUAUUUUUAAAGGCAAUAAGCAUCUUUAAUGAUGCAGAUUUAUUAUUUGUGCUAAUGCAUUAAAUAACAAUUCUAUUAAGCUGAUGCUUCAAAAUUUUGAAGUUAUU